AACGCGAAGAACCUUACCUGGGUUUGACAUGCUAGUUAAAGCCGGUGAAAGCCGGUGUCCGUAAGGGGCUAGCACAGGUGCUGCAUGGCUGUCGUCAGCUCGUGCCGUGAGGUGUUGGCUUAAGUGCCGCAACGAGCGCAACCCCUGCUCUUAGUUGCCAGCGGGUAAUGCCGGGGACUCUAAGAGGACUGCCGGGGACAACUCGGAGGAAGGUGGGGAUGACGUCAAGUCAGCAUGGCCCUUAUACCCAGGGCUGCACACAUGCUACAUUGCGCGUUACAGAGGGCUGCGAUCCCGCAAGGGGGAGCGAAUCCCAAAAAAGCGCGCCUGGUUCGGAUUGGGGUCUGCAACUCGACCCCAUGAAGUCGGAGUCGCUAGUAAUCGCAGAUCAGCAACGCUGCGGUGAAUACGUUCCCGGGCCUUGUACACACCG
This 433-nucleotide ribosomal RNA is filed under the name uncultured bacterium. RNAcentral describes it as "bacterial SSU rRNA". It matches the Rfam family "Bacterial small subunit ribosomal RNA", at positions 958 to 1392 of the family's 1533-position model. The record is from RNAcentral.